This 549-nucleotide long non-coding RNA is filed under the name Fukomys damarensis (Damara mole-rat). RNAcentral describes it as "lncRNA (ENSFDAG00000032963.1)". Lineage: Eukaryota; Metazoa; Chordata; Mammalia; Rodentia; Bathyergidae. The record is from RNAcentral.
CCCUUAUCUUUGUCUACCUUGUCUUCCCUUCCCAACCAGAAUGCAGGUAGAGCCAUGUCUGAUGCAUCGCUGAGUCCUGAGAGUACAGAACAGGCCUGCACAUAGAGACAGACAUUCAGCACUGGUUUCUGAUUGAGGUUCCAUGAACAUGACUGCUGUUCACCAGGGGCCCCACUUUGCCGUGCUGCUUCUUCCAACAGCAACACCUCUGACACCCAGCCUACCUCCACCUCCAUACCCACCUCUGCCUGGCAACCUGGAGCCCACUAGCCCUUCUUUUACUUGGCCUCACCUGGGGAUUUCUCUUCUGGGGGCAGCAUGGAGAAUGUCUCACCCCUCAACAUAUAGAAGUUGGCCUCAAAGCCCCUUCCCAGCACCAUAUGGCUCCUGGGUCACAGCGGUGGUGCCAAGCAUCUUGGCAGGAUCCCAAGGUGUGGCAUGCAGCCUGGAGACACAAGGAUGAAAUGAGGCUAUUGCCAUGGCAAAACUGCAGGCUCCGGAGGUUCUUCUUUCCUAAUGUCACAUUUGGACACCUGGCUAUUGCUCUCC